CAGCAGUCGCCGCGGGAAUACAGAGGGUGCGAGCGUUAAUCGGAUUUACUGGGCGUAAAGCGUGCGUAGGCGGCUUCUUAAGUCGGAUGUGAAAUCCCUGAGCUUAACUUAGGAAUUGCAUUCGAUACUGGGAAGCUAGAGUAUGGGAGAGGAUGGUAGAAUUCCAGGUGUAGCGGUGAAAUGCGUAGAGAUCUGGAGGAAUACCGAUGGCGAAGGCAGCCAUCUGGCCUAAUACUGACGCUGAGGUACGAAAGCAUGGGGAGCAAACAGGAUUAGAUACCCGAGUAGUCCCUGUCUCUUAUAA
This 304-nucleotide ribosomal RNA is filed under the name uncultured bacterium. RNAcentral's name for it is "partial 16S ribosomal RNA". It matches the Rfam family "Bacterial small subunit ribosomal RNA", at positions 509 to 809 of the family's 1533-position model. The record is from RNAcentral.